RNAcentral lists this ribosomal RNA (254 nucleotides) under uncultured bacterium. RNAcentral's name for it is "partial 16S ribosomal RNA". It matches the Rfam family "Bacterial small subunit ribosomal RNA", at positions 524 to 776 of the family's 1533-position model. The record is from RNAcentral.
CACGUAGGGUGCGAGCGUUGUCCGGAAUUAUUGGGCGUAAAGAGCUCGUAGGCGGUGUGUCGCGUCGGCCGUGAAAACCUGCAGCUUAACUGUGGGCUUGCGGUCGAUACGGGCAUCACUGGAGUUCGGCAGGGGAGACUGGAAUUCCUGGUGUAGCGGUGAAAUGCGCAGAUAUCAGGAGGACCACCGGUGGCGAAGGCGGGUCUCUGGGCCGAUACUGACGCUGAGGAGCGAAAGCGUGGGGAGCAAACAGG